GUGUCAGCCGCCGCGGUAAGACGUAGGGCGCGAGCGUUGUCCGGAUUUAUUGGGCGUAAAGAGCUCGUAGGCGGCUUGUUGCGUCGACUGUGAAAACCCGCGGCUUAACUGCGGGCUUGCAGUUGAUACGGGCAGGCUAGAGUUCGGUAGGGGAGACUGGAAUUCCUGGUGUAGCGGUGAAAUGCGCAGAUAUCAGGAGGAACACCGGUGGCGAAGGCGGGUCUCUGGGCCGAUACUGACGCUGAGGAGCGAAAGCGUGGGGAGCGAACAGGAUUAGAAACCCUCGUAGUCC
This 292-nucleotide ribosomal RNA is filed under the name uncultured bacterium. RNAcentral's name for it is "partial 16S ribosomal RNA". It matches the Rfam family "Bacterial small subunit ribosomal RNA", at positions 505 to 796 of the family's 1533-position model. The record is from RNAcentral.